Non-coding RNA from Hymenopellis radicata, 93 nucleotides. The record is from the annotation of a GenBank genome assembly. NCBI's taxonomy places the organism in Eukaryota, Fungi, Basidiomycota, Agaricomycetes, Agaricales, Physalacriaceae.
GGGGACAUAGCUCAGUUGGGAGAGCAACAGAAUGAAGUGUCGUAGCCACGUAUGGUGUUCUGGAGGUCCCCAGUUCAAUCCUGGGUGUCCCCA